AUCCUCAUGUAUCUUAAGCACACGAAAGAGAAUCAUAAACCAAGUUUUAGUACAAGGUUUCAAUGAAAGCUGCUGGUGGCUGCACGCCCUGAGAAGUGAAGGUGGCUUUCUGCUAUACAGUGAUGAUGUGAAAAAUGCUGCUCUUCACCUUAGAGCUACAAGGACCGUCAGCGACUGGGCUGUCCUGUGAGACCUGAGGAAAAAGGGCUGUUUGAAACGAUAGGAAGGGACUCAGCCUG
This 239-nucleotide long non-coding RNA is filed under the name Lepidothrix coronata (blue-crowned manakin). RNAcentral describes it as "lncRNA (ENSLCOG00000005974.1)". The record is from RNAcentral. Lineage: Eukaryota; Metazoa; Chordata; Aves; Passeriformes; Pipridae.